GAUGAACGCUGGCGGCGUGCCUAAUACAUGCAAGUCGAGCGAACGGACGAGAAGCUUGCUUCUCUGAUGUUAGCGGCGGACGGGUGAGUAACACGUGGAUAACCUACCUAUAAGACUGGGAUAACUUCGGGAAACCGGAGCUAAUACCGGAUGAUAUUUUGAACCGCAUGGUUCAAAAGUGAAAGACGGUCUUGCCGUCACUUAUAGAUGGAUCCGCGCUGCAUUAUCUAGUUGGUAAGGUAACGGCUUACCAAGGCAACGAUGCAUAGCCGACCUGAGAGGGUGAUCGGCCACACUGGAACUGAGACACGGUCCAGACUCCUACGGGAGGCAGCAGUAGGGAAUCUUCCGCAAUGGGCGAAAGCCUGACGGAGCAACGCCGCGUGAGUGAUGAAGGUCUUCGGAUCGUAAAACUCUGUUAUUAGGGAAGAACAUAUGUGUAAGUAACUGUGCACAUCUUGACGGUACCUAAUCAGAAAGCCACGGCUAACUACGUG
Molecule: ribosomal RNA, 497 nt
Filed under: uncultured bacterium
Lineage: Bacteria
Description: partial 16S ribosomal RNA
Rfam family: Bacterial small subunit ribosomal RNA
Source: RNAcentral